This 232-nucleotide ribosomal RNA is filed under the name uncultured bacterium. RNAcentral's name for it is "partial 16S ribosomal RNA". It matches the Rfam family "Bacterial small subunit ribosomal RNA", at positions 118 to 347 of the family's 1533-position model. The record is from RNAcentral.
UGGAUAACCUGCCCUGUACACACGGAUAACAUACCGAAAGGUAUGCUAAUACGAGAUAAUAUGCUUUUAUCGCAUGGUAGAAGUAUCAAAGCUCUGGCGGUACAGGAUGGACCCGCGUCUGAUUAGCUAGUUGGUAAGGUAACGGCUUACCAAGGCGACGAUCAGUAGCCGACCUGAGAGGGUGAUCGGCCACAUUGGAACUGAGACACGGUCCAAACUCCUACGGGAGCAG